ACGGAUAUUGAAAGGAGAGACGGUUAGCACUACCCUUGACAAGGAUGAAACACACAAAAUGGUUAAGGGCACAAACUUGGUACAAUUUUCA
RNAcentral lists this non-coding RNA (91 nucleotides) under Leguminivora glycinivorella. Lineage: Eukaryota; Metazoa; Arthropoda; Insecta; Lepidoptera; Tortricidae. The record is from RNAcentral.